GGGUCUGUAGUUCAGUGGAAGAGAACAGCCGUCUUCUAAGCGGCGUGGCGCGGGUUCGAGUCCUGCCAGACCCU
RNAcentral lists this transfer RNA (74 nucleotides) under Candidatus Chloroheliaceae bacterium. RNAcentral describes it as "tRNA-Arg". It matches the Rfam family "tRNA". From Rfam's summary of the family: Transfer RNA (tRNA) molecules are approximately 80 nucleotides in length. Their secondary structure includes four short double-helical elements and three loops (D, anti-codon, and T loops). Further hydrogen bonds mediate the characteristic L-shaped molecular structure. tRNAs have two regions of fundamental functional importance: the anti-codon, which is responsible for specific mRNA codon recognition, and the 3' end, to which the tRNAs corresponding amino acid is attached (by aminoacyl-tRNA synthetases). tRNAs cope with the degeneracy of the genetic code in two manners: having more than one tRNA (with a specific anti-codon) for a particular amino acid; and 'wobble' base-pairing, i.e. permitting non-standard base-pairing at the 3rd anti-codon position. Lineage: Bacteria; Bacillati; Chloroflexota; Chloroflexia; Candidatus Chloroheliales; Candidatus Chloroheliaceae. The record is from RNAcentral.